UACGAAGGGGGUUAGCGUUGUUCGGAAUUACUGGGCGUAAAGCGCGCGCAGGCGGUCCUUCAAGUCAGAGGUGAAAGCCCAGAGCUCAACUCUGGAAUGGCCUUUGAGACUAGAGGACUUGGGUACGGGAGAGGUGAGUGGAAUUCCGAGUGUAGAGGUGAAAUUCGUAGAUAUUCGGAAGAACACCAGUGGCGAAGGCGGCUCACUGGCCCGUUACCGACGCUCAGGCGCGACAGCGUGGGGGAGCAAAC
RNAcentral lists this ribosomal RNA (251 nucleotides) under uncultured bacterium. RNAcentral describes it as "partial 16S ribosomal RNA". It matches the Rfam family "Bacterial small subunit ribosomal RNA", at positions 524 to 773 of the family's 1533-position model. The record is from RNAcentral.